Molecule: unclassified non-coding RNA, 394 nt
Filed under: Bombus terrestris (buff-tailed bumblebee)
Lineage: Eukaryota; Metazoa; Arthropoda; Insecta; Hymenoptera; Apidae
Description: misc RNA ENSBTSG00005025142.1
Source: RNAcentral
CGAAAACAGUCUCGUUACUCUGGCUCGAGUCAGGACGCGUCGCGACGGCUCUUCCUCGUGAAAACCGACGACUGACCUUCGAGAAAACGACUGGUGACGUUUCACAGUUACAUCGGGGCGCACAAUGCUUCUAGUGAAAAGUGUGCUGCUGCUAAUUGUGCAGCGGGAAACAAGUUACGCUGUGAACCGUGGCCAAUUUCAUUUAAUUAAGUCGAUCGCGUUCAACUUUGAACUUGCUGGGGAGACGCAUUCCGAUGGCUGUGGAAGCUUCGUCGACGAGGCAAUAUCGAAGGAAGUGAGCCAACGCGGAAAGAAAUAUCGUUAAUAAUAAGUGUAACGAACUUGUUAAACGUUUGUAUCACGUGAACUCCCUAACUAUCCUCGAACGAGGUCG